RNAcentral lists this transfer RNA (75 nucleotides) under Moorella sp. E308F. RNAcentral describes it as "tRNA-Trp". It matches the Rfam family "tRNA". From Rfam's summary of the family: Transfer RNA (tRNA) molecules are approximately 80 nucleotides in length. Their secondary structure includes four short double-helical elements and three loops (D, anti-codon, and T loops). The record is from RNAcentral. RNAcentral also lists the same sequence under 1 other name. Lineage: Bacteria; Bacillati; Bacillota; Clostridia; Neomoorellales; Neomoorellaceae.
GGGGCGGUAGUUCAGUGGCCAGAAUUCCGGACUCCAAAUCCGGCGACGCGGGUUCGAGUCCCGCCCGCUCUGCCA